This 617-nucleotide long non-coding RNA is filed under the name Bos indicus x Bos taurus (hybrid cattle). RNAcentral describes it as "lncRNA (ENSBIXG00005012847.1)". The record is from RNAcentral. Lineage: Eukaryota; Metazoa; Chordata; Mammalia; Artiodactyla; Bovidae.
GCUGAGGGAAACCAGUUGGGCAAUAUUCAACAAGUGUUUAUUGAUCCCUGAUUAGGUCCCAGCCAGUGUGCAACUUCGUUUCAUAACAUUAAAAUAUGUUGCAAGUUGGCUCUGUAUGAUUAUCCCAGCAAGGGAAGAGAGCACAGAGGGGGCUGUGCCAGCAGUUGAAGAUGUCAAAGCAGACUUGUUAUAUGAGUCCACCUACCUCCAAAAAAGGUCUAAAUUCAGAAACUAACAUCUGGACCAGGGAAGCUGAGGUGACUGAUGACCGCGCUUGUGUUUGCACAUACAGUAUUGUACUACAUUUUCAAUCACAUUGCGCAUCGGAUAACUCUAAGACAGAUGAGGUCCACCUGCUCCAGGUGUGGCAGCCUCCAGGAACCAUCAGGAACUGCCCCGGGCGGGGCCAGGACAGCGGAGCCGUCAAGAAGUCAGAUGUCUUCAGCAGUUGUUUAACUCUGAAAUUCAAGGUGUGGGGAAAGUCUCUCCAGAAAUAGGGUUUCUUUUAAGGUUUUGUUGUUGUUGUUGUUGCUGUUGUUCUGUUUUUCACAUGGUUGGAGUCUCCUGUGUAUGAUGGCCAAUCUAUUAUGCAAUUUUUGUAGCUCUGAAGUGAUAAU